UGGGGAAUAUUGGACAAUGGGCGCAAGCCUGAUCCAGCCAUGCCGCGUGAGUGAUGAAGGCCCUAGGGUUGUAAAGCUCUUUCGCCAGGGACGAUAAUGACGGUACCUGGAUAAGAAGCCCCGGCUAACUUCGUGCCAGCAGCCGCGGUAAUACGAAGGGGGCUAGCGUUGUUCGGAAUCACUGGGCGUAAAGCGCACGUAGGCGGAUCUUUAAGUCAGGGGUGAAAUCCCGAGGCUCAACCUCGGAACUGCCUUUGAUACUGGAGGUCUCGAGUCCGGGAGAGGUGAGUGGAACUGCGAGUGUAGAGGUGAAAUUCGUAGAUAUUCGCAAGAACACCAGUGGCGAUGGCGGCUCACUGGCCCGGGUACUGACGCUGAGGUGCGAAAGCGUGGGGAGCGAACAGGAUUAGAUACCCUGGUAGUCCACGCCGUAAACUAUGGGAUGCUAGCCGUUGGGCAGCUUGCUGUUCAGUGGCGCGCUAACGCUUUAANCAUCCCCGCCUGGGGAGUACGGUCGCAAGAUUAAAACUUUAAAAUGAAUUGACGGGGGUCAUAGCUGUUUCCUG
This 566-nucleotide ribosomal RNA is filed under the name uncultured bacterium. Its description in RNAcentral is "partial 16S ribosomal RNA". It matches the Rfam family "Bacterial small subunit ribosomal RNA", at positions 355 to 941 of the family's 1533-position model. The record is from RNAcentral.